This 329-nucleotide long non-coding RNA is filed under the name Ananas comosus (pineapple). Its description in RNAcentral is "long non-coding RNA (ACOM_LNC009030)". The record is from RNAcentral. Lineage: Eukaryota; Viridiplantae; Streptophyta; Magnoliopsida; Poales; Bromeliaceae.
ACGUAUAAAAGAAUUAUAAGUCUAUUGACUGUCUAAAGUCAAGUAGAUAAUUCGGACCUUGAAUUGAGUAAUCUAAUCCUUUAUUUUUAGAAAGUCAUUUAAUUUUGACCUUUUUAUAUCUGCUUGAUAAGUUUUUAUUAUAACUUUGAAAAAUUUGCAAAAUCCAGUUUAUAAAUUCUUUCAGUUGUUUUAAAUCGUAUUUAACAAUAUGGAUCAUAGAUUUAAAAUUUUAUCAUCUGGAACAACUUUAUGAAUACGAAGUCGGUCGAUCGUAUUCAUAAUAGUAUAAUAUCUGAGCUCUUUUAAUAAUAUAACAUUUUACAGAGAAG